UACGUAGGGGGCGAGCGUUGUCCGGAAUCAUUGGGCGUAAAGCGCGCGUAGGCGGCCCGGUAAGUCCGCUGUGAAAGUCCAGGGCUCAACCCUGGGAUGCCGGUGGAUACUGUCGGGCUCGAGUCCGGAAGAGGCGAGUGGAAUUCCUGGUGUAGCGGUGAAAUGCGCAGAUAUCAGGAGGAACACCGAUUGCGAAGGCAGCUCGCUGGGACGUCACUGACGCUGAGACGCGAAAGCGUGGGGAGCAAACAGG
This 253-nucleotide ribosomal RNA is filed under the name uncultured bacterium. Its description in RNAcentral is "partial 16S ribosomal RNA". It matches the Rfam family "Bacterial small subunit ribosomal RNA", at positions 524 to 776 of the family's 1533-position model. The record is from RNAcentral.